Molecule: ribosomal RNA, 191 nt
Filed under: Salmonella enterica subsp. enterica serovar Kentucky str. 5349
Lineage: Bacteria; Pseudomonadati; Pseudomonadota; Gammaproteobacteria; Enterobacterales; Enterobacteriaceae
Description: partial 23S ribosomal RNA
Rfam family: Bacterial large subunit ribosomal RNA
Source: RNAcentral
AUGUGUUGUGAGCUCGAUGAGUAGGGCGGGACACGUGGUAUCCUGUCUGAAUAUGGGGGGACCAUCCUCCAAGGCUAAAUACUCCUGACUGACCGAUAGUGAACCAGUACCGUGAGGGAAAGGCGAAAAGAACCCCGGCGAGGGGAGUGAAAAAGAACCUGAAACCGUGUACGUACAAGCAGUGGGAGCCC